Molecule: long non-coding RNA, 1451 nt
Filed under: Homo sapiens (human)
Lineage: Eukaryota; Metazoa; Chordata; Mammalia; Primates; Hominidae
Description: HSALNT0315938
Source: RNAcentral
GCUGGAGAGAAUGAGCUUGGAGCCGCAGGGCUUAAUCCCGCGCGGCUCAGAGAUGGGUUUCUGGACUCGCGAAGCAGCUGCAACAAGGCAUCACUCACUGUAUAAGUAUUUCCAUUUCUGAGAGCAAAAGGAAGAACUUAAGCGGGCGGCACUUGGAGUGUAAAUUGCUUUGUAGUAUUUAAAGGCAGAAUGGAUCCUGGGCAGCCGAGCUGAUCAUGAGGUUCCUGAGGCCUCCUAGCCAUGCUUCCUGUGCAGCCUAUGGAACUGAUCACUGUUGUAUUUUUAAACCUUAUUCCUGGAAGCACUACGGAUAUCAGAUCAAUUUAGAAAGCCAAAGAGUACCUCUGGGAAUGAAAUGGUAGUAAUAGAAACAAUAUUUGGCCAAACUAUCGCUGUAUGCCAAUGAUGCCAAAAAUCACAGUAACCUGGCAGCAACAAACCGGCAGGACUUCCUGUGAAAUCAUGACCACCAUGUGCUCUUUCAGCCUCUAUCAGUUCCUACCUCUAAGCACCUGAGAGCCAAAGCAAACCACAGGAAACCACAGGUACUAACUCUUUUAGACCUGAUGAAGUGUCUCCCAAAUACAGUCUGGCAUGACUCAAACUAAACGUCAGCUUUUCCCGGCUCUCAAGCCUGCUGGUCCCUGAACUAAAACUCACAUUAUCAACUCUACUGGUUCUUAGGCCUUUGGAGUCAGACUGGAACUACAGCAUUGACUCUUCCGGAACUCCAGCUUACUGACUACAGAUCUUGGAACUUUUCAGCUUCCACAACCAUAAUGAAAGCCAAGCAUAUUCCAUCAUUUCCUAAAACCAAGAUAGAGCACAUAUGGGAACUUGUGAAAUAAGGAUGCCCUGCGGUUGUUUUCAGGACUGAAGACAACAGCUCCACGAUGUAUCUUUGCAUAAGAAUACACUUGUAUAAUAAGUUUUUUUUUUUAGAGAAAUUGCAUGUAUCUGCCUUAUAAACUUUUUCAUUCAUUCAUUUUCUUUCUUCCUAAUCUGUUCCAUAAAGCAAAUUUCUAACUUAUUGUUAAUCAAAAUAAUUAUUGAAAUAAUUAGUACUUUCAUAUGAUAAAGAUUAUUUUAAUCUGCAGCUACAAAAUAUGUAACUCAUUAAUAUUUAAACAAUCACAAUUUUCUAUUAACAUUAUAGCAUUUUAUCUACUACUAGAUCAGGAAUUAGCUAUUUUUUGUAAAAUUUCUUUGUAAGGCAAAGCAAUAGUAUUGUAUAUACUUUCCUAAAGAUUGUCAAGUUCAGUUUUGCUUAAAUUUAACAGUACAUGUGACACUUUCUGUUUGAAGAAUAAGUUGGUUUUAAGUUUAUACCAAACAAAAGCAUCUCUUUUGUUUUGCAAAAUCUGAAACUUUGAUCUUUCUAGUUGUGACUUCUUGUAAAUAUGUUUUAUAUAAAUAUUCUAUGAAUUGGUUAUUAACAAGGUAAAGAAAGA